Molecule: ribosomal RNA, 117 nt
Filed under: Candidatus Woesearchaeota archaeon
Lineage: Archaea; Nanobdellati; Candidatus Woesearchaeota
Source: RNAcentral
UUGGACGGUCAUAGGGGCUUGGUUCUACCUGUUCUCAUUUCGAACACAGCAGUCAAGCAAGCCUCCGUUUCUGAGUGUACUGUUCUUCUGAACGGGAAAUCAGAAAAGCUGUCCGCC